This 293-nucleotide ribosomal RNA is filed under the name uncultured bacterium. Its description in RNAcentral is "partial 16S ribosomal RNA". It matches the Rfam family "Bacterial small subunit ribosomal RNA", at positions 505 to 796 of the family's 1533-position model. The record is from RNAcentral.
GUGCCAGCAGCCGCGGUAAGACGAACCGUGCGAACGUUAUUCGGAAUCACUGGGCUUAAAGCGCGUGUAGGCGGGACGGCACGUCGGUCGCUGAAAGCCCCCGGCUCAACCGGGGAACGGGCGCCGAGACGACCGCCCUGGAGGGACGUAGGGGGACCUGGAACUUCCGGUGGAGCGGUGAAAUGCGUUGAGAUCGGAAGGAACGCCCGUGGCGAAAGCGAGGUCCUGGACGUCUGCUGACGCUGAGACGCGAAAGCCAGGGGAGCGAACGGGAUUAGAUACCCCGGUAGUCC